This 485-nucleotide unclassified non-coding RNA is filed under the name Arabidopsis thaliana (thale cress). Lineage: Eukaryota; Viridiplantae; Streptophyta; Magnoliopsida; Brassicales; Brassicaceae. The record is from RNAcentral.
AGAACAUCAUAUUACCAUAUCUCACUAAUCAAAUACAUCUACUUCCGGAGGCACCCAAGUCGAUCUCACCAUUAAGAUGUAGAAGAAAUGAAGGAUCAAAAGCUCGAGAGUUGGUGGAUGGGUAUCGUAUUGUCGUCCUUGAACAUUGCGUCCUCUAGCAGACCAUAUAUUAUCCAACCGUUUUUUUCACUAUUCAAACUGAUUAUGCAAUGAAAGUGGAGUGGGACGGCGAGAUCAUGAGCAUGAAUACUUUUGGCCUGCACACGAAAAUGCAAAUAGGAUCCGACUAUUUUCAUGACAGUGUUUUGGAAAUCCGCUUACAUGUGUAACAUAGAAAUUUCACUGUCCAAAAAUGAUUUCCAACCACUUACGAAAUAGUAGUAAGAGGAAGUCACCCCGAUUAUUACAGCCCCAAGAAGUCGAACAAUAUUCCUGAACUUGGGACACAUUUUUAUUGGGGAUUCUUUUUUUUUUAUCGGAAGCAU